GAUGAACGCUGGCGGCGUGCCUAAUACAUGCAAGUCGUGCGGAAAGGCCACUUCGGUGGUACUCGAGCGGCGGACGGCAGAGCAACGCGUAGGAACAUACCCAAACUGAGGCAUAACUGCUCGAAAGAGCAGCUAAUACCGCAUGUGAUCUUCGGAUUAAAGCUUCGGCGGUUUGGGAAUGGCCUGCGUCCGAUUAGCUAGUUGGUGAGGUAAAUGCUCACCAAGGCUUCGAUCGGUAGCUGGUCUGAGAGGAUGAUCAGCCUGACUGGAACUGAGAACGGUCCAGACUCCUACGGGAGGCAGCAGUAGGGAAUUUCCACAAUGGGCGAAAGCCUGAUGGAGCAACGCCGCGUGCAGGAUGAAUGCCUUCGGUUGUAAACUGCUUUAUUAGUGAAGAAUAUGACGGUAACUAAUAGAAUAAGGGUCGGCUAACUACGUAGCCAGCAGCCGCGGUAAU
Molecule: ribosomal RNA, 457 nt
Filed under: uncultured bacterium
Lineage: Bacteria
Description: bacterial SSU rRNA
Rfam family: Bacterial small subunit ribosomal RNA
Source: RNAcentral